CCUUCGGGCGCCGACGAGUGGCGGACGGGUGCGUAACGCGUAGGAAUCUGCCUGUUAGUGGGGGACAACGUGGGGAAACUCACGCUAAUACCGCAUACGCCCUACGGGGGAAAGCGGGGGAUCUUCGGACCUCGCGCUAACAGAUGAGCCUGCGUUGGAUUAGCUAGUUGGUAGGGUAAAGGCCUACCAAGGCGACGAUCCAUAGCUGGUCUGAGAGGACGAUCAGCCACACUGGGACUGAGACACGGCCCAGACUCCUACGGGAGGCAGCAGUGGGGAAUAUUGGACAAUGGGCGCAAGCCUGAUCCAGCAAUACCGCGUGUGUGAAGAAGGCCUGAGGGUUGUAAAGCACUUUUAAUCGGGAGGAACACCUGUCAGUUAAUACCUGGCAGUAUGACAUUACCGAUAGAAAAAGCACCGGCUAACUCCGUGCCAGCAGCUGCGGUAAUACGGAGGGUGCAAGCGUUAAUCGGAAUUACUGGGCGUAAAGCGUGCGUAGGCGGCUGUUUAAGUCAGAUGUGAAAGCCCCGGGCUUAACCUGGGAACUGCAUUUGAUACUGGGCAGCUAGAGUUGAGUAGAGGAGAGGGGAAUUUCAGGUGUAGCGGUGAAAUGCGUAGAGAUCUGAAGGAACACCAGUGGCGAAGGCGCCUCUCUGGACUCAAACUGACGCUGAGGUACGAAAGCGUGGGUAGCAAACAGGAUUAGAUACCCUGGUAGUCCACGCCGUAAACGAUGUCAACUAGCCGUUGGUCUUAUUCGUAAGAUUAGUGGCGUAGCUAACGCGAUAAGUUGACCGCCUGGGGAGUACGGCCGCAAGGUUAAAACUCAAAUGAAUUGACGGGGGCCCGCACAAGCGGUGGAGCAUGUGGUUUAAUUCGAUGCAACGCGAAGACCUUACCCACCCUUGACAUCCAGGGAAUC
This 922-nucleotide ribosomal RNA is filed under the name uncultured Methylosarcina sp. RNAcentral's name for it is "bacterial SSU rRNA". It matches the Rfam family "Bacterial small subunit ribosomal RNA", at positions 77 to 997 of the family's 1533-position model. Lineage: Bacteria; Pseudomonadati; Pseudomonadota; Gammaproteobacteria; Methylococcales; Methylococcaceae. The record is from RNAcentral.